Ziziphus jujuba (common jujube) is the source of this 93-nucleotide small nucleolar RNA. RefSeq annotates it as small nucleolar RNA Z43. The record is from RefSeq and is a predicted model, not a curated record. The transcript has a single exon. Lineage: Eukaryota; Viridiplantae; Streptophyta; Magnoliopsida; Rosales; Rhamnaceae.
GGACAGUGAGGAGUUGUAUCAAAGGUCUCGUUCGUCGUAAUGGCUUUUGCCUUGCCGACCAUUCUGAUAUAUCACCACCCAUAAUCUGAGUCC